This 253-nucleotide ribosomal RNA is filed under the name uncultured bacterium. RNAcentral describes it as "partial 16S ribosomal RNA". It matches the Rfam family "Bacterial small subunit ribosomal RNA", at positions 524 to 776 of the family's 1533-position model. The record is from RNAcentral.
GACAGAGGUGCCGAGCGUUAGGCGGAAUCACUGGGCUUAAAGCGUGUGUAGGCGGGUCGUUAAGUACCUUGUGAAAUCCCCCGGCUCAACCGGGGAACGGCUGGGUAUACUGGCGAUCUUGAGCCACCUAGGGGCAGUCGGAACAAGUGGUGGAGCGGUGAAAUGCGUAGAUAUCACUUGGAACGCCAAUGGUGAAAACAGACUGCUGGGGGUGUGCUGACGCUGAGACACGAAAGCCAGGGGAGCAAGCGGG